GAGGCUAUAGCUCAGUGGUAGAGUGCAUGCUUAGCAUGAAUAAGGUCCUGGGUUCAAUUCCCAGUAUCUCCA
Molecule: transfer RNA, 72 nt
Filed under: Camelus bactrianus (Bactrian camel)
Lineage: Eukaryota; Metazoa; Chordata; Mammalia; Artiodactyla; Camelidae
Also listed under: 2 other names
Rfam family: tRNA
About the family: Transfer RNA (tRNA) molecules are approximately 80 nucleotides in length.
Source: Rfam by way of RNAcentral